RNAcentral lists this transfer RNA (72 nucleotides) under Camelus bactrianus (Bactrian camel). It matches the Rfam family "tRNA". From Rfam's summary of the family: Transfer RNA (tRNA) molecules are approximately 80 nucleotides in length. Their secondary structure includes four short double-helical elements and three loops (D, anti-codon, and T loops). RNAcentral also lists the same sequence under 1 other name. Lineage: Eukaryota; Metazoa; Chordata; Mammalia; Artiodactyla; Camelidae. The record is from Rfam by way of RNAcentral.
GAGAGUAUAGCUCAGUGGUAGAGCACACGUUUAGUACGCAUGAGGUCCUGGGUUCAAUCUCCAGUACAUCCU